CCAAUGUCUUCCUGCUGGUUCGUUUUCCGUGACCAAUGGGGUACUCAUGUAUAGGCUCCAACUUAUGGUGCCUUCUCUCCGAGCAUGUCUAGCUCCCCGAGGUUGUAUUGUUGUUGGAGUGGAGGUCGACAUCAAAGAACGAGUUCGCUUCAUCCAGCGCUGGUCCAAGGAUGUCUUUGAGGCCGUUUGCCAUGCAUUAUUGAUUGUUUGGAGGCGCUUGGAUCAGCCAGGUGCUCCUCAGUUGAUGUUCCACUACUUUGAUCUUUUGACUUAGGUAAAGUCAGUUGCUGAUCUGCGUCUAUAUGAAGCAGAUCGUGCUCUGAAAAUGAUGGCUUUGAACUGGUGUGAUCGUGUUCUGAAAACUUACCAACCUAAUCAUCAACGUCAUCCUCUUCAUAAUCAUCAACAUUUUCCACUUAAUCCUUAUUCUCCUCUUUUUCUUUUCCAUUAUCAAAGACCACCCGCCGCUUCAAAAAAGAUAUUAUUAAAAAAAUUUGAAUUUCAGUCCCGGCACCCUUCCCCC
Molecule: long non-coding RNA, 523 nt
Organism: Lycium ferocissimum
Lineage: Eukaryota; Viridiplantae; Streptophyta; Magnoliopsida; Solanales; Solanaceae
Exons: 2
Source: RefSeq, a predicted model, not a curated record